AUGACAUAAAUGAAUAAAUUACAUAUAAUGUUGAAAACUGAUGAAAAAGUGGGUUAUGCAUACUCUAACUCGAUAAGGGGCUAUCUGCCUGUGAUCAUGGCACUAUGGUUACUAUGCAUAACCAUUUCCCUCAAAAGAUGCCCUAGACUGCUUGAAUAUAAAGUGCUAAGGUGGACUCUGCUUUCUUUCAUGACUUAACCUUGAUUGACUGCAGAAGACAGUAGGUAAACUAGAAUAACCUUUACAAUCUUAUUCUUUGUGGCAAGCAGUGUGGCCCCAUCCCUCUUCCCAAACAGAAAGUAGUGUACAGUAGCCAUAGCAACUUGUCUAGUCAGUAUCAGCACACAGUCUUUUUACACGAGACUAUGAGCAUGUGCAUGUUACAUAUUUAAGGGUAGAUGUUCCUUCCCUUAUGUAAUUACUGUAAAAGUUAUAACAAGGACAGGUUAUCAGAAUCCCUAUGUCCGUUUGUCAUAGUACAAUCACCAUGCCUGUUGCAUGCUGCAGCAUAACCAGACAGGCAUGGCUACAAUUACACCUCUGACAUCAUGCCCAUUGCUGGUGUAAUAAAUAAGUAUAAAACUGACAAAUAUGUGUGAUGCUCUGAAUUACUGGUUGUGGAUCAGACCAGACAUGUUUCUUAUUUGAUACCUAAUGAACUCAUACUCAUAUUAUUAUGACUCUUCCAACCUAUCCCACCCUAUCUACCCACCAUUACCCUAGUGGGGCCAUUUGGGUACUUUAUUAGACAAAUAGUCAGUUAGUUAGUUAAGCUUUAUUUAUUCAGGAAACCUCACAAGACUACAACAAGAAUAUGAAUUUGCUCAAAACAACAAACACACACACACACACACACACACACACACACACACACACACACACACACACACACACACACACACACACUGCCAUACUGAGGAAUAUGUGUUUCUAACGUGUAGCUGUGUUGAAGUUCAGUAUUAGGUGCGUAGAACUGGAAACCGGUCUUCCCCAAUUUACAGUUUGUAUGAGAAACCUAUAAAGCCAAUGUUUCCUAUGAUCUGGUUCCAAAAUAAGCCAUUGCUAUUAGACGGAGGAGUUUUCUACCCCCCCCCGCUGCCCAAAUUCUUGACUGUUUGUAAACAGUAAACCUGUUUAUUAGAGAGUAAAAUGAAGCUAAUUAUUGUAUUCAUUAUCUUUGCUUACUAUAAGUUUUCUUAGACCCAGCAUGGUCUAGUUGCUCCAUAAUGAAACAAGGGAGCCGUACUUGCUGGAUUACUGAGUACCAGUUAUGACAGCGGCUCCACAGCACAAUGCUUUGAUACUGUCAUCUGUUGAUUCUGUGUUAGCUCACGCUUUCCAAACCUCCACACCAAAAUCAACUCAAAUCAGACACCAGCUCUCAUAGAAGUACUGCUGCCUUGGAGUGUGAUACAGGUGCUGUACAACGUGAUGUAUUAUAUUAGUCAAGACAGCAGUAUGUCUCUGCAAGCUCUGGCGAGAGAGAACAAUGGGAGCCUAUGACGUGUGUAAUGAUGCAUUAGAAAAGACAGUAGUAACUUUUUACAGUGACAAAACUGUCAUUGGGUUUAGAGCUUUUUUUGGGGCAUUUUUGCCUUAUAUAAUAGUAAAGACCUACAACAAGUGUUUAGAGUGAGGGGAGCCUUCCCACAACAAGGCCCCAGGGUUUGGACUUUUAAACUUUCCUACCAGCAUAUACAGUACUUCCCAGUCACACAGACGACUACACUUUGACAAAGUUAAUUCUCACCCCUUCAUCCCUGUGGUUUCAGAAUAACACAGUUGUUCUGUACCGUCCUCUAAAUGACUGUUAUUAUGACAGUGGAGGUUGUUAUUGAAGUACAGUAUGAUCACACCAUUUUAAGUUCACUGUAUGUAACAUUUCGCUGAGCUGGCAGGCUGACUAGAGAUCAUUUUUUUCAGUAGUUGCUAAUGGUUUAUCAUUGGGACCUUCAUUUGAUAAAUUCAUAUUUGACAUUGACACAUCAAUACAUUUAGAAUGCAAUCUGAUUAUCAUAUGUCUUAUUUGCUAAAGGUCCCCACUACAUC
This is a long non-coding RNA of Sander lucioperca (pikeperch), 2049 nucleotides long. RefSeq lists it as uncharacterized. The record is from RefSeq and is a predicted model, not a curated record. Lineage: Eukaryota; Metazoa; Chordata; Actinopteri; Perciformes; Percidae. The transcript has 2 exons.